Molecule: unclassified non-coding RNA, 237 nt
Filed under: rhizosphere metagenome
Description: partial ribosomal RNA internal transcribed spacer region
Source: RNAcentral
GUAGGUGAACCUGCGGAAGGAUCAUUAAAGAGUAAGGGUCUAACCGGCCCGAACCUCCAACCCUUUGUCGUUUAAAAAACACCUUGUUGCUUUGGCGGGACGGCCGACUCGCGUCGGCCGCCGGUCUUCGGCCCGGAGAGCUCCCGCCAGAGUCAUACCAAACUCUUGUUUUAACCAGUCGUCUGAGUAAAAAUUUUAAAUAAAUUAAAACUUUCAACAACGGAUCUCUUGGUUCUG